RNAcentral lists this ribosomal RNA (395 nucleotides) under uncultured bacterium. Its description in RNAcentral is "bacterial SSU rRNA". It matches the Rfam family "Bacterial small subunit ribosomal RNA", at positions 28 to 417 of the family's 1533-position model. The record is from RNAcentral.
GACGAACGCUGGCGGCGUGCCUAACACAUGCAAGUGGAGCGACGAACCAGGCUUCGGCCUGGGGCAAGGCCGCGAACGGGUGAGUAACACGUGGGUAACCUGCCCUGAUGAUUGGGACAACCCGAGGAAACUCGGGCUAAUACCGAAUGUGCCCUCCGGCCUCAAGGCCGCUGGGGAAAGGAAGCUUCGGCCUCCGCAUCGGGAUGGGCCCGCGGCCCAUUAGCUUGUUGGUGAGGUAACGGCNCACCAAGGCGACGAUGGGUAGCUGGUCUGAGAGGACGAUCAGCCACACUGGGACUGAGACACGGCCCAGACUCCUACGGGAGGCAGCAGUGGGGAAUCUUGCGCAAUGCGCGAAAGCGUGACGCAGCAACGCCGCGUGGGGAAGAAGGCCU